Crotalus tigris (Tiger rattlesnake) is the source of this 1209-nucleotide long non-coding RNA. RefSeq lists it as uncharacterized. NCBI's taxonomy places the organism in Eukaryota, Metazoa, Chordata, Lepidosauria, Squamata, Viperidae. The record is from RefSeq and is a predicted model, not a curated record. The transcript has 5 exons.
AUGAUAUAUAUAAAAAUUGCUUUUACUCCUUUUGUUUUUAUUAAAGGAUUUGAAGAUUCAGAUUUAUUAGAUGGUAACUUGCCACCUGAGAACCCACAAUCAGGUGGGGACGAUUCUGGCUCCGCUGGAGCUAAAACAGAUUCUCCAGGCAUGCUAGCUGGCAUUAUUAGUUCUGUUGUAGUAGCAAUAGCUGGAGCUCUUUCAAGUUUUAUAGCAUACCAGAAGAAGAAGCUUUGCUUCAAACCAAGUGAUCAAGAAAACAUUCCUGUGGAAAGCCAGCAAGGAGCACAUGCAGCUCCAUCUGUUCAACAUACACUUUUGCAGAAACAAUAACAGAAUUUGAUAUGAAGAGAAGACCAGAAACUGGAUUUAUAGCCUGCAUAAUUUCCUGAAGGAGCAAGGGAAUGGAAUUGCAAAGUAAAUCUUUAAAAUAGGCCUGUUGAAACAUCUUCAGAAAGGGAGUGUGAUGUUUUUAACCAAUGAAAAAUAUUUUCCUCCACUAUUUACCCUUUGAAGUUCAAUUGUAUGCAGGGUGAUUAUUGUUUUAAAAUGUAUUUUUAUGGCAUUUGUUGAUUGGAUUAAAGUUUUUUUUCUAUUUUCUAUUUUUUUUUUAGCAAGAACCUUGAAAAGGGAGAUAGGUGUACUUGUAAAAUACUUUCAGGCAGGUUGUUCACUAAGUAAAAGUAUGUUGAUUAUAGAUAUCUCUAAGAAGUACAGUUUGUCUUUACAUACUGAUGCAUAUCAUACUAUAUGGAUAAGGCCAGCUAUUUAGAUAUUGGGGCAAAGCACAAGUUUGCUCUUACCAGAUGAGUAGCUCUUAAUACAGUACAAUUGCUCACUUCAUAAUUGAGGUUAUGUAUUAUAAAUAUGUAUGAAUCGACUUAGGACUAAGUCCCCUUGUCCCUGAAUCUCUAGUUCAUAAAUAUUAACAUUUUUGCUUCUACAUGUUCUUGGUCACAUUUAGAAAUUGGACAUGGAGUAAAUGCCUUAUCUGACUAGCAAAUCUUUUGAAAUUUUAUCAUUGUAUACAAGUACAUAGGAAUUGAAGGCAUUAAAAAUCUAAGUUGCCUUAAGUUUUGACUCAAAAAUAAACUUAAAAUAAUCCUUAUCUUGAACAUGUUUGCAUCUGAAAAUUUAUUUCUUGUAUGUAGUAAGGCUAUAUUUCUGAGCUGCAUGAUGCUGGAAAUAAAUAUGAUUUUAUAGAACAUA